UGAAAUGGGAUGGAUAGUUGAUAGUUAAUUACUGGGAAACUAAGAUCUUCAUGUCUCGUUCCUGCACUAGUUUACCCAUAAAGAAUUUUGAGCUGGUACAAAGUAAAGAUUAUUGCACAAAUGACAACUAAAAUUAGCAGACCAAUGCCAAACUGUGAAGUUACAUCAUGCAAUGCAAGAUAGAUGCGGAUGUGAAUUACAGUACUUCGUACUUUUUAGUGAAGGUUCUUAUGCAGAAACAAAAACAUUCUUUUCCUUUAACCACAUCGUUUCUUUCUUGCCAUUCUAUUUUGUUUUUUCACAACAUAAAGCCUCCCAAAAAAUAAAAGUUCAUACUAAUUUUCACAAUAUGAAUUUCCCUCCCAACCAAAUGAGGUGUGAAAAUACCCAUGUACUUAGAUUUAGGUGCACGUUAAAGAACCCCAGGUGGUCCAAAAAGGUGGUCCAAUGUCCCUCACUAAGGGACUCUGCAAAUAUAAUCAGAUCGUGGUUUUGGAACGUAAAGCCCCAUAACUUAAACUGAAUUAAACAUGCAAUCGAAAUUAGCGAUGUCAUGCAAAGGUCUCCACUGUUUUAAACGAGACACUACAUGCACCACAUGGUGGCUUAUAGAUGGUUUGCAUUGACCUCGCACUGCAACGUUGAAGCUGCACAUUAUGUUUUGCCUGGAAACGUUGCACUGAUUUCCAGUUCACCUGCAUCAAUGCCGUGGAACCUAAUCUGUGAAUGCAGCUCCAGUGAGACAAUUGCAUUUUAAAAUUUCUGUUGACGUCACCAUGUUUGCCAAUGGUUCUUGCAACACAAACACACACAAGAAAAAAAGAAAGAAAUGGCCCAAUAAUUCACAAUGACACAAUGAUCACACUGAUGCAUGUCAUACAGCACUUGACAGAAUCAUAGGCUCCGUUUAUUGCAGGAAGUCAUUCUAACAUUAUAUAUAUGUAUAAGGAAUGGCAUCAAGCCUGCCAUUUAGUUUGCAUACGUUACAACACAUGUAGAAGACACUGUAUAAGAGAGCGAAAAAUAAA
This 1028-nucleotide long non-coding RNA is filed under the name Dermacentor andersoni. RNAcentral's name for it is "uncharacterized LOC126547894". The record is from RNAcentral. Lineage: Eukaryota; Metazoa; Arthropoda; Arachnida; Ixodida; Ixodidae.